ACUACCGGGUUUAUAUGGGGUUCAAGUCCAUUGGCUUGACUGCCUCCGUGGUCGCUAAUUCACUUGAAUUCUUAUAAAUUGGACGGUUCCGUUACACUAUCUAGGACCACUCUAGCGUCAUCAGUAGGGAUGCGAAAGAAAGAACCUCUAGACAUUGUAUGUAGCAUUUGUUUAUGAUCUUUCUGAAGACCUCGAAAAAAGUGAAAUAAAAGAACAAGGUCUUCAAGAUUAAGGUUUGGACCAGAUUCUAAAAGAUCAGAAAAACGCUUCUAGGAUUUUCCCAAAGUUUCAUUAUCUUUUUGUUUAAAAGAUAGGGCUUCAAGUCUAAGGUCGCUGAUACGGUUGAGGGAAUAAAAAUCUAGGCAAAAGUUGGCUCGUAAAACUCCCCAUUCAUCUCGUUGUUGACUUACCUUCUGAUUAUACCAUUGUCUAGCUUCUCCCCUUAAAGAAAAAGGAAAAAGCUUCCAACGUAAAGUUUUAUAAGAAAUGCCUUCAAUGCGAAGACAAUCACAUGUUUGCUCAAAAUCUCUAAUAUGAAGGUAAGGGUUUUCGUCUUCCUUUCCUGAAAAGGAUAGGUUUUGAAUCAUGGCAAUCAACCUGGAACUUAACCUAUACUGGGAUGUUUGGAUAGGCUGUGAUGACUCCCAUGGUAAAAGGUCAGUUUCCAAAGGUGUUGCAAAUUGAUAAAUCGAUUUAGAAUCUUGGUUUCCAAUAAGAUAAUAAUAAAGAAAAUAAAUAAAAAAUAUAAAAGAUAAGGAAAGAUAAAAGUAUAAAUACAAGCUAGUAGUAAGACUCAAGGUUAUCUCAGCAAACCGUCUUUCUCCCUGGCAACGGCGCCAGAAAUGCUUGUUGAUAUUUGGGAACGCAAUAAGGAAUUGAUCCGCAAGCGCACGGAUACCGGUGAGCACUUCACUCUUGAUGUUAUCUAGACUAUCGUAUUUAUAUUUUUACCAC
RNAcentral lists this long non-coding RNA (954 nucleotides) under Sorghum bicolor (sorghum). Its description in RNAcentral is "long non-coding RNA (SBIC_LNC016285)". The record is from RNAcentral. Lineage: Eukaryota; Viridiplantae; Streptophyta; Magnoliopsida; Poales; Poaceae.